AGGAGCAACAGCCCCAGUGGCGGGGCCAGCUCUGGAGCCCUGGAUUCAGCCCCCGCAGGAACUCCGGAGCUCUCCGUCUGCAGGGCCUGGAGGCUCCGGGGUGGG
RNAcentral lists this microRNA precursor (105 nucleotides) under Canis lupus dingo (dingo). RNAcentral's name for it is "mir-8834 microRNA precursor family". It matches the Rfam family "mir-8834 microRNA precursor family". The record is from Rfam by way of RNAcentral. Lineage: Eukaryota; Metazoa; Chordata; Mammalia; Carnivora; Canidae.